GUAUCAUGGCUCAGGACGAACGCUGGCGGCGUGCCUAAUACAUGCAAGUCGAACGAGAGCGACCGGUGCUUGCACUGGUCAAUCUAGUGGCGAACGGGUGAGUAACACGUGGGUAACCUGCCCAUCAGAGGGGGAUAACAUUCGGAAACGGAUGCUAAAACCGCAUAGGUUCUUGAGUCGCAUGACCCGAGAAGGAAAAGAGGCUUCGGCUUCUGCUGAUGGAUGGACCCGCGGUGCA
Molecule: ribosomal RNA, 238 nt
Filed under: uncultured bacterium
Lineage: Bacteria
Description: partial 16S ribosomal RNA
Rfam family: Bacterial small subunit ribosomal RNA
Source: RNAcentral